CCCCGGUAAACGGCGGCCGUAACUAUAACGGUCCUAAGGUAGCGAAAUUCCUUGUCGGGUAAGUUCCGACCUGCACGAAUGGCGUAAUGAUGGCCAGGCUGUCUCCACCCGAGACUCAGUGAAAUUGAACUCGCUGUGAAGAUGCAGUGUACCCGCGGCAAGACGGAAAGACCCCGUGAACCUUUACUAUAGCUUGACACUGAACAUUGAGCCUUGAUGUGUAGGAUAGGUGGGAGGCUUUGAAGUGUGGACGCCAGUCUGCAUGGAGCCGACCUUGAAAUACCACCCUUUAAUGUUUGAUGUUCUAACGUGGACCCGUAAUCCGGGUUGCGGACAGUGUCUGGUGGGUAGUUUGACUGGGGCGGUCUCCUCCUAAAGAGUAACGGAGGAGCACGAAGGUUGGCUAAUCCUGGUCGGACAUCAGGAGGUUAGUGCAAUGGCAUAAGCCAGCUUGACUGCGAGCGUGACGGCGCGAGCAGGUGCGAAAGCAGGUCAUAGUGAUCCGGUGGUUCUGAAUGGAAGGGCCAUCGCUCAACGGAUAAAAGGUACUCCGGGGAUAACAGGCUGAUACCGCCCAAGAGUUCAUAUCGACGGCGGUGUUUGGCACCUCGAUGUCGGCUCAUCACAUCCUGGGGCUGAAGUAGGUCCCAAGGGUAUGGCUGUUCGCCAUUUAAAGUGGUACGCGAGCUGGGUUUAGAACGUCGUGAGACAGUUCGGUCCCUAUCUGCCGUGGGCGCUGGAGAACUGAGGGGGGCUGCUCCUAGUACGAGAGGACCGGAGUGGACGCAUCACUGGUGUUCGGGUUGUCAUGCCAAUGGCACUGCCCGGUAGCUAAAUGCGGAAGAGAUAAGUGCUGAAAGCAUCUAAGCACGAAACUUGCCCCGAGAUGA
This 890-nucleotide ribosomal RNA is filed under the name Salmonella enterica. RNAcentral's name for it is "partial 23S ribosomal RNA". It matches the Rfam family "Bacterial large subunit ribosomal RNA", at positions 1918 to 2807 of the family's 2925-position model. RNAcentral also lists the same sequence under 4 other names. Lineage: Bacteria; Pseudomonadati; Pseudomonadota; Gammaproteobacteria; Enterobacterales; Enterobacteriaceae. The record is from RNAcentral.